This 76-nucleotide transfer RNA is filed under the name Plantactinospora endophytica. RNAcentral's name for it is "tRNA-Pro". Lineage: Bacteria; Bacillati; Actinomycetota; Actinomycetes; Micromonosporales; Micromonosporaceae. The record is from RNAcentral.
CCGGGAUCGGCGGCGCGGUGCCCCGCCGCUGCUCGGGCCGGCUCGCCCCGGCCGGGUCGCCUCCGGCGUCCCGGGC